RNAcentral lists this ribosomal RNA (2922 nucleotides) under Bacillus thuringiensis. Its description in RNAcentral is "23S ribosomal RNA". It matches the Rfam family "Bacterial large subunit ribosomal RNA". The record is from RNAcentral. Lineage: Bacteria; Bacillati; Bacillota; Bacilli; Caryophanales; Bacillaceae.
GGUUAAGUUAGAAAGGGCGCACGGUGGAUGCCUUGACACUAGGAGUCGAUGAAGGACGGGACUAACGCCGAUAUGCUUCGGGGAGCUGUAAGUAAGCUUUGAUCCGAAGAUUUCCGAAUGGGGAAACCCACCAUACGUAAUGGUAUGGUAUCCUUAUCUGAAUACAUAGGGUAAGGAAGACAGACCCAGGGAACUGAAACAUCUAAGUACCUGGAGGAAGAGAAAGCAAAUGCGAUUUCCUGAGUAGCGGCGAGCGAAACGGAACAUAGCCCAAACCAAGAGGCUUGCCUCUUGGGGUUGUAGGACAUUCUAUACGGAGUUACAAAGGAACGAGGUAGACGAAGCGACCUGGAAAGGUCCGUCGUAGAGGGUAACAACCCCGUAGUCGAAACUUCGUUCUCUCUUGAAUGUAUCCUGAGUACGGCGGAACACGUGAAAUUCCGUCGGAAUCUGGGAGGACCAUCUCCCAAGGCUAAAUACUCCCUAGUGAUCGAUAGUGAACCAGUACCGUGAGGGAAAGGUGAAAAGCACCCCGGAAGGGGAGUGAAAGAGAUCCUGAAACCGUGUGCCUACAAAUAGUCAGAGCCCGUUAACGGGUGAUGGCGUGCCUUUUGUAGAAUGAACCGGCGAGUUACGAUCCCGUGCGAGGUUAAGCUGAAGAGGCGGAGCCGCAGCGAAAGCGAGUCUGAAUAGGGCGUUUAGUACGUGGUCGUAGACCCGAAACCAGGUGAUCUACCCAUGUCCAGGGUGAAGUUCAGGUAACACUGAAUGGAGGCCCGAACCCACGCACGUUGAAAAGUGCGGGGAUGAGGUGUGGGUAGCGGAGAAAUUCCAAUCGAACCUGGAGAUAGCUGGUUCUCCCCGAAAUAGCUUUAGGGCUAGCCUUAAGUGUAAGAGUCUUGGAGGUAGAGCACUGAUUGGACUAGGGGUCCUCAUCGGAUUACCGAAUUCAGUCAAACUCCGAAUGCCAAUGACUUAUCCUUAGGAGUCAGACUGCGAGUGAUAAGAUCCGUAGUCAAAAGGGAAACAGCCCAGACCGCCAGCUAAGGUCCCAAAGUGUGUAUUAAGUGGAAAAGGAUGUGGAGUUGCUUAGACAACUAGGAUGUUGGCUUAGAAGCAGCCACCAUUUAAAGAGUGCGUAAUAGCUCACUAGUCGAGUGACUCUGCGCCGAAAAUGUACCGGGGCUAAAUACACCACCGAAGCUGCGGAUUGAUACCAAUGGUAUCAGUGGUAGGGGAGCGUUCUAAGGACAGUGAAGUCAGACCGUAAGGACUGGUGGAGUGCUUAGAAGUGAGAAUGCCGGUAUGAGUAGCGAAAGACGGGUGAGAAUCCCGUCCACCGAAUGCCUAAGGUUUCCUGAGGAAGGCUCGUCCGCUCAGGGUUAGUCAGGACCUAAGCCGAGGCCGACAGGCGUAGGCGAUGGACAACAGGUUGAUAUUCCUGUACCACCUCUUUAUCGUUUGAGCAAUGGAGGGACGCAGAAGGAUAGAAGAAGCGUGCGAUUGGUUGUGCACGUCCAAGCAGUUAGGCUGAUAAGUAGGCAAAUCCGCUUAUCGUAAAGGCUGAGCUGUGAUGGGGAAGCUCCUUAUGGAGCGAAGUCUUUGAUUCCCCGCUGCCAAGAAAAGCUUCUAGCGAGAUAAAAGGUGCCUGUACCGCAAACCGACACAGGUAGGCGAGGAGAGAAUCCUAAGGUGUGCGAGAGAACUCUGGUUAAGGAACUCGGCAAAAUGACCCCGUAACUUCGGGAGAAGGGGUGCUUUCUUAACGGAAAGCCGCAGUGAAUAGGCCCAAGCGACUGUUUAGCAAAAACACAGCUCUCUGCGAAGCCGUAAGGCGAAGUAUAGGGGGUGACACCUGCCCGGUGCUGGAAGGUUAAGGAGAGGGGUUAGCGUAAGCGAAGCUCUGAACUGAAGCCCCAGUAAACGGCGGCCGUAACUAUAACGGUCCUAAGGUAGCGAAAUUCCUUGUCGGGUAAGUUCCGACCCGCACGAAAGGUGUAACGAUUUGGGCACUGUCUCAACCAGAGACUCGGUGAAAUUAUAGUACCUGUGAAGAUGCAGGUUACCCGCGACAGGACGGAAAGACCCCGUGGAGCUUUACUGUAGCCUGAUAUUGAAUUUUGGUACAGUUUGUACAGGAUAGGCGGGAGCCAUUGAAACCGGAGCGCUAGCUUCGGUGGAGGCGCUGGUGGGAUACCGCCCUGACUGUAUUGAAAUUCUAACCUACGGGUCUUAUCGACCCGGGAGACAGUGUCAGGUGGGCAGUUUGACUGGGGCGGUCGCCUCCUAAAGUGUAACAGAGGCGCCCAAAGGUUCCCUCAGAAUGGUUGGAAAUCAUUCGUAGAGUGCAAAGGCAUAAGGGAGCUUGACUGCGAGACCUACAAGUCGAGCAGGGACGAAAGUCGGGCUUAGUGAUCCGGUGGUUCCGCAUGGAAGGGCCAUCGCUCAACGGAUAAAAGCUACCCCGGGGAUAACAGGCUUAUCUCCCCCAAGAGUCCACAUCGACGGGGAGGUUUGGCACCUCGAUGUCGGCUCAUCGCAUCCUGGGGCUGUAGUCGGUCCCAAGGGUUGGGCUGUUCGCCCAUUAAAGCGGUACGCGAGCUGGGUUCAGAACGUCGUGAGACAGUUCGGUCCCUAUCCGUCGUGGGCGUAGGAAAUUUGAGAGGAGCUGUCCUUAGUACGAGAGGACCGGGAUGGACGCACCGCUGGUGUACCAGUUGUUCUGCCAAGGGCAUAGCUGGGUAGCUAUGUGCGGAAGGGAUAAGUGCUGAAAGCAUCUAAGCAUGAAGCCCCCCUCAAGAUGAGAUUUCCCAUAGCGUAAGCUAGUAAGAUCCCUGAAAGAUGAUCAGGUUGAUAGGUUCGAGGUGGAAGCAUGGUGACAUGUGGAGCUGACGAAUACUAAUAGAUCGAGGACUUAACCAU